ACUGGCGGAAUUGAAAGUCGUGACGUCAGGACGUCAAACGUUUGUUUUUCGAGGAUCAGUUGUGAAAGAGGUUUGUUGAUGCAGGAGGAGUGACCGAUGUGUGAAGCGUAUAUCGAUUCGAGUUCUCUUACAAAAGGAUAUGUAAAGUAACACCAAGAAUAUCCAAUUAUGUCUACUUUAUCGAUUCCUUCCGGUUCAGAGUUCAAAGAUUUAAGUUCGCGUAGAUAUUGUAAACGUGGCACUUGUCCGUUUAUUAUUUUUUACUGUCGUUAAGUGUAUGUAUCCAUACAUAAAUUUCAAAAUUUGUCAUCGAUGAAGAGUCAUCCUAACGGGUAAGAUGUUAAUCUGGUUCCUUGUUUUUUUUUCUUCUUCUAUAUAUUACGAUCGAGACCUUGAAUCUUUAAAGAAGCCAGUCGUGAUGUUUAACAGUUAUGUCUUUCGACGAUUGAUGUGGCUGAAAAUAAAAAAAGACAACAUUCAACUCCUUCGCUACGAAAUUAUUUUCGCUUCUCGAUAUUUUGACCUGGUUUUAGUUGUAAAAACUUUAUUUUUGACAAACGUAGCGGUAGGAAAAGGGGAACAAGUUCCUUUCUAGGUUGUUUUUGAAGGAUGAAUGUUACAAAAUAGUUCUGGUUUAAUGAAUAAUAGCUUAACUUGGCAGAAAAAAAAAAUAUAUAUAUAUAUAUAUAUACAGUAUAUAUUUUGGUUACAG
Molecule: long non-coding RNA, 712 nt
Filed under: Androctonus crassicauda
Lineage: Eukaryota; Metazoa; Arthropoda; Arachnida; Scorpiones; Buthidae
Source: RNAcentral